RNAcentral lists this long non-coding RNA (1164 nucleotides) under Macaca mulatta (Rhesus monkey). RNAcentral's name for it is "lncRNA (ENSMMUG00000059126.1)". Lineage: Eukaryota; Metazoa; Chordata; Mammalia; Primates; Cercopithecidae. The record is from RNAcentral.
CAGAAAUCAAAAGUCAGCAUCACUUUCUGGCCAAACCAAAGGAACAACUUUAAGAUAAAAAGUGAAAGUUGAGGACUCUACAGUCAGUUAUUUCAACAUCACUGUGAGAUGAUUUUCUUAUAGACUUUCUAAAUUUCAAUGCCUUAGCCACUGCCAUCCAACUUCUAUGCAAAGAUAUGUCUUGGCUGGCUUCUACUGAAGUGAAAGACUUAUAGGACCUACUAUAAUCCUAUCCAGAGAGGAGAAAUGGCUUACAGGAGGUACGAGCCACCUAGUGAUUCAGUGAACUCAAAUUUGAUGUUUUCACCAUUUCCCUAAUUGGGUUUCUUGCCUCUAGGAUCUCCUUUGUCUUCUCUGUAUAACUAGCCCCAUUCUUGCUCUCCCAGAUAACUGCCUCCCAUUUUUAAAUUUUUUCUCCUACUUAGAUGAGGGAAAGAGCUCAUUUAAACUGAUUUAUUUUGGAUCCUUUCAUUUCUGUCAUUGUACAUACACAACUUGCUGUUUGUGUUUCAUCUUUUCUAAGGCAACUACAUUCAUGAUGUAUGACUGUCAAAAGUGGGAGGUAAACUGAAGAAGAAGGAGAAGGAAGAGGAGGAGAAGGGGAUGAGGGAUAAGAAGGAAAAAGAAGAAAGAGGAAGAGAAGGAGGGAAGGAGAAGAAGAGAAUAAGAGGAAGCAACAGCAGCAGCAACAAAACAGGAAAUAUAUAUGAGAGCAGCUUUCUCUCAGCUUCCAACAAUGAGAGGACAAAUUGCGGGAGACAAGAUUAGCUCUGGCAAAUAUGACAAAGGACAUGGAAGUACUUAAAGGGAAAAUUGUGAAAUGACAAAAAACUGUAACAAGCCUGCAAAAAAAAAAAAAAAAAAAAAAAAAGGUAAUAAAGGUAAUCCUUCAAAUAAGAUAAUUCAAAGAUUGAAACUUGCAUGGCUCAGAGAUCUCAUUUUUUUUCUUUUCUUUUAAAAGACAUUUAUUUUUCUUCUUUCCCUUGAUAUUUGAAUAAAAUUUUCAAAGCUAAGAAAGACUUAUCGGCCAAACCAAGAAAAUCACUUAAAGCAAGAGCAUUUUGGCUGCUCAGAGGUAUUUAACAGAAAGAUUAAAAAUGUAAGUCUUUUUUCAACCCCUUGAUUUUUUUUUAUUUAGUAUGUUUUUAUAUUCUCAACACAAAU